RNAcentral lists this unclassified non-coding RNA (413 nucleotides) under soil metagenome. Its description in RNAcentral is "partial contains 5.8S ribosomal RNA, internal transcribed spacer 2, and large subunit ribosomal RNA". The stretch from base 1 to 121 matches the Rfam family "5.8S ribosomal RNA", at positions 35 to 154 of the family's 154-position model. The record is from RNAcentral.
GAUGAAGAACGCAGCGAAAUGCGAUAAGUAGUGUGAAUUGCAGAAGUACCGUGAAUCAUCGAAUCUUUGAACGCAAAUUGCACUCUCUGGUAUUCCGGGGAGUAUGCCUGUUUGAGGGUCGCUUAACAAACCAUCGAUUUCGUUGCUUUUUUUUUAAAAAAGUGAUGUUUAUCGGAUUUGAGCCGUCUUUUUUUUUUUAUAUUUAAGUGGCUUAAAAUUGAUUUUUUUUGGUACGAUCGAAGCGUAUUUUUAUGAUCAAUUUUUGGUUAAAGAAACGCACACGUACCGUUAUUUAUAUGAUGUAAUACGUUUGACUAUCGGAUUUAGUUCAUUCGUAUACGAUAUUUUUCAAUAUUUGACCUCAAAUCAGGUAAGAACACCCGCUGAACUUAAGCAUAUCAAUAAGCGGAGGA